Molecule: unclassified non-coding RNA, 516 nt
Filed under: Bombus terrestris (buff-tailed bumblebee)
Lineage: Eukaryota; Metazoa; Arthropoda; Insecta; Hymenoptera; Apidae
Description: misc RNA ENSBTSG00005028346.1
Source: RNAcentral
UGUGACCGACGAAAAUACCAAGCCUCGAUUUUGCUAACUCGUCCACGAGUUUGAUUUUGAUUUUGAUCGUCAUCCAUGUGUCUGCGUGUUUCGUGAAUGAAGCCGAUCGUAACGGUUGUUCGCGAAAGAUUUUCAAGUGCAAUCCCGUGACCCGCGGCCGCGGGUGAAAUAUAUUAAACGUGGCUCACACGGCGAGGGACAGGGCCGCCGAACUCCAGGCGGAAGUAAGGAGCGCGAUCAGGGUUCUUCAUGGCUGGUGCCCUAGGCCGCCCCAGGGGCACCGCGGUGACACGGUCCUGAUGUCACCACAGACUCAAAUGCGAGGAAAUCAUAGAAACGGAGGACCAACUCAGCAACCACCGCCAGCCACUGUCGUAGUCAGUUCAACGUCCAGUAUGAGACCACCGCCACCGCCACCGCCCCCCAGGGCUAGAGCCUCCAACGAGGGCAAAGGCCACCACGAAGAACCGACCAGCUCCAUUCCUGAUCUCGGUAAUCUAGGAAUAUCUGAUGCUG